RNAcentral lists this long non-coding RNA (6501 nucleotides) under Citrus sinensis (sweet orange). RNAcentral describes it as "long non-coding RNA (CSIN_LNC003441)". The record is from RNAcentral. Lineage: Eukaryota; Viridiplantae; Streptophyta; Magnoliopsida; Sapindales; Rutaceae.
CCAACCAGGUCCUCGCCGUCGCCGACACGAUCAUCGCCGGCGAGUCCAUCAUAAUCACCUCCAACGGUAACCAGUACCAUGACUGGUACGCGAUUCUCCAACUCGCUCGCUUCACUCACUCCAUCGAACUCAUCGCGACUCAGUACCGGAAACUCGCGCUGUUACUCAGUCCCGAGCGGAACCGCUUCCCCUUUGCGGAUCGGUCCUUCAAGCUCGUUUACGACGCGUGGUCGAUACUGUCGAAUCCCGCGAGAAAGAUAAUGUACGAUACGGAUUUGCAGCUGAGUCAACUCGGUGAACGACCGAGGCAAACUCAAAUGCCACCUCCACCUCAGCCACCGCAGCCGAUACAGUCGCAACCGGUCAGAAGAAGCCCGCCUCCUCCGGCGAGAAGGAGCCCGCCUCCUCCGGCGAGAAGGAGCCCGCCACCUCAGGCUAAAAUAAGUCCGCUUAAUAAGGACAAAGGCGUAAGCAAUAGGACAGUAGAAGAAGAGAGGUCAAGUUCGAAUAACGUGACUGAGUCGACUCGCGAAGCUCGAACGAGUCGGACCGAGACGAACCGUCCGAGCGAGGCAGCGUAUGAGGGACCGCGUUUCUGGACGGCGUGUCCCUAUUGUUACAUUCUCUACGAGUACCCAAAGGCUUACGAGGACUGUACGCUCAAGUGUCAAAACUGUAAAAGAGCAUUUCAUGGGGUAAUGAUUGCGUCACCGCCUGUGACGGAGAAAGAUACGUAUUUUUGUUGCUGGGGUUUCUUUCCGGUUGGUUACUCAGGCAAUGCGAAAGACACGGGCGGAAAUUUUUCUAAGUGGACCCCGGUAUCUCCUAUGUUUGCUUGCCCGAAGCCAGGGCAAAAUAAUAAGAAGACAAAUAAACGAGUUCAAGUUUUGUAUGAUGAGGUGCUCAUUUCUGAUUCAGAAUCUGAUCCUGAGGAAUCUGAUGAUGAGUGGGGGAGUAAUAAGAAGAAAAAGAAGGCCAAAAAUGUUAAAGGAAAAGGGAAUGAAGUUAGAAAAAAUGUGAAAAGAACCCCGGUUGAGAGGGGUAAGAGGGGCAGCCAAAAUCAAAAGGAAAAUCAAAAUGCGGGUGGGAAUGUGGAUGGAAUGGUUGGGACUUCGAGUGGUGGUGGUGGGGCGAGAGUUCUUAGAAGUAGCGGAAAGAAGCAAAUGGGGAAUGGGUUGGACUUGAAUGUGGAGUUUAGUAAUGAGUUGGAAGAGCCGAUGGCGGCAGUGCCACCAAGAAUGAAUCCAGAGAAUGGAAUGGAGGAUAAUAUCGAUGGUGUCUUUUUCGAGGGGCUUGACGAGUUUUUGAGUAGUUUGCCGAUACUCAAUGUGGUGAAAGAUGAUAAGGUUAAGCCAACUUAGUGAAGUAAGACUCUCCCUGUUGUUGAUGAUGUUCAUUGCCCUAGUUGCUGUUGUAGUUUUGGUAUGCUUGUAGUAGUUUAAAUCAUGUAGAGGUACUGGCUCUGGCAUUUUGGUUGCUGGGAGUUGAAAUCUAGUAUAUAUUUUUGUGCAAUAAGGUAUGUCUUAUUGCUGACUUUAAGUGCUCCCUCUUUUCAUUGUGUAUUGGCAUGCUUUUUAAGUAUGGUUUACUUAUAAUUUAGCACGGUAAGUAGUUUCUAAAAUCUUGAACAUAUAUAUAUUAAUUUUUUUCCUGUUAAGCUUAACUAGGAGCCUCAUUACUAAGCCGUCCUUAAGAGCUUCACUAGGAGCCUCAUUAAGCUUUAUAUCAAUGAACAUGAUUUUAAUCUUUUUGAAUAAUUUUGUUUGAUAUGAACAUGUUUCAUAUUUAUUUAUUUUCUUCUCUUCCCGUGGCCGGCUAAACUAUCAUUUAUUUAUUUUUAUCAAUUUUAAGUGUCCAAUGCAUAUCAUAUGAAAUAUUGUUUUUCCUUUUAAUUGUUAUUGAUGUAGUUCAGGAGUGGAUUGUUUUCUUCCUGUUUGGUUGUUAAUCAUGCAGUAGAAUAUGGCUGAAGAUAUUUAAUUGUGAGUUCUAUAGUUUAGACUUUCUUUGGGAAAAAGAAAAAAAAAAUCCCAUUCAAGUUGGUUUUAGGUAACACUAAUAUAUGUUCCGGAUAGAUCUAAAUCUGAUGCACUCUUAUAAACUCUGAAUGUAUAAGUCCAACUACUAUUUUUUUUUCACCAUUUCUUUUUUUCCCUUUUUCUUUCAUCUGUGAAUGUAAGAGUCCAAUCUACUUGUCUCUCGUUUGAGAAACAUGUGAAAAUCAAUAUUUUGACAUUUAUUCUUGUAAAUAGAAUCAUUGUUUGUGGUUUUCGUGUUAUAAAGAAGUAUAACAAUAGUUAUGAAAUAAGAACUAGAAUGGUGGUGGUGGUGGUUAUAAUGAUGGUCUCGGUGGUGGUGUGUUGGGGAUGAAUGUGAUGAACAAGAUAAAGUUUUCAUGAAAUUAAUGAGUAGUCUAUGCGAUGGGAAUCACUUUUUCUGUGUUGUUAUAUCAUUCAUGCCUAUAUUCUCGUAAAAAUCAUACGAACUAUUUUUUAUUCAGAUAAAUGCCUUAUUGUAGUAGCCAAAUCACAAUAUCUUAAUCAUUUUGACGAAGAUGCCUUCAGACUUCAUAUGAAAAGGGAAACAACUUGAAGGCAGCUAGAAUCACUAUGCCAUCUGCUUAUUGUUGUUGUUUUAACCUAAUAUUUAGAAGGUUAACUGAUUCUCAUGCGAAGUAAAAGGAAAUGUCAAUAUAAAUGAAUUAACAUGAGUAUUUUAGAUCUUGCCCUUCAAAACAUUUUUAUAUGGUUUUGUUAGAGCAACUCCGAAAGGCUCAUCUAAUAAUACUCUUCAAAUACUUAUUUGCUUACCUAUGAAGCAAAUAAAAGAGCGAAGGAAUAAGCUUCCUUCCAAAAGGCUUUUCAAAUAAAAAUAAAUUUAUAUUAUUUUAAUCAAAUUUGCUGAUAUGACUACUUCCAAAAGUCUUUUCAAAUAAAAAUAGGUUUAGAAAUGAUUUUGUAGUGAUGCAAAUAUAAAAUAAUAGUAAUUGAAGAACAAGAAGUGGAACUUCAAUAUUGAAGGGAGAGAAGUGAAAUCUCAUUUGAAGAAUCUCAUUUAAAUUUGGCUGUUUACUGGGUGAUUUAGUUGGAGAGGAACGAAAGGAUUUCAAGGAAACUUUAGAAGAAGAUAUCAGGGGAAACUCUUGAAGAGGAAAUCAAUGUUUUUAUGGGCUUCUGUUCCUUAAGUAUACCGAUGCGCUUCUCUUUUUUCAUUUUGGAAACUGGGAUACUGUUUUGCAGUAAUAAUGCUUGAUGUUGCCAUUUUUUAUAGGACUACACUACAGGAUUUUUUUUUUUUUUUUUUUUUUGUCCUUCUAAUACAUCUUUUAUAAGUAUUUGGUUACUUAUCAAAGAAGGAAUGGAAAGGCUUCCCAUCUAGCUGUUGAGUGGCCCUUGGAGAUGUAAGUAGCAUGGCAGGAAGAACAACGUAAUGAAGAAAACAUUUAUUGAAAGGGGCUGUCCUACCACUUCUUUCUUUUUUUUUAAAUAAGAAGGCUAAAAAGGAAACUGAUGUUUAAUUUAUGAAUGCAUUGUUCUCUUUCAGAAUAUCUGAGGUCCCUUUAAAUUUGAAUCUACAUUUUCCUCUAUUUUUCAGUUUAGAAGAAUAACUAUUAUAUUAUGGUGUUUCUUUUUGAGGAGUGUCUUUCAUUAUAUACGGGUAUUGAAUAAUUUUAAGUUCAAUAUGAUAUAUCCUUCUUUUGUUACUCUGUUAGGUUUUUGGUGGAUAAUAUGUCCUUGAUUCGUGGAUGGCUCGUUCGCUCUUUUGUCAUCCUCGCAUGCACUAUGACAUUCUUUGUUUCUUCUCAUUCAGUUAUUAUGUAUAUACCUGUAUAUAUAUCCCUUCUUAUUUCCUCUUUAUGAAUAAAUUUUAUUGUUCCCAAGAGGUAGUUUUUGCACAAAUGGAUGAAGGGGAAGCAAGUGGUUUUUAGAGAUUAGACUAGUAUUGUUUGCUAAAGUUACUUUCCAUUUCAAGUCAGAUGAUGGGAAAUACAAAUGAGAAAUGCGUUCACUUUGCAUAAACUGUUUAUUUUUUAACAAAUAACUCUCAAAUAGAUUUAGUAGAAAGUGAAAAAUAUAUUGUUCUUCUAUUUCGCUUUCUUGCUGCCGCGUCUCUUUCUUUGUUAUUUUUUAUUUUUUUAUUUUAUUUAUUUUGGUUAAUUUCUAUUCACCCCCUGUUGUUUUGACUAUCGACAACCCACCCUCAACCUAUUGAAAACAUCAACCGAACGCCCAUUUACCAUUCAAAAGUUUAGGGUAAAUGCAGGUUGCGUUGGUGAAUGCUUCCUCGGUUUUUGUCUUCUUGAUGGUAAAUGCGGGUGGGAUGAUGUUUUCAAUAGGUUGGGGUGGCGGGUUGAAGAUAGUCAAAACAUCUAGGGGUAAAUAUAGUUGACCCUUUAGUUUUGCUCAAAGAAGAUCUUUCUGAUUGGUAUUAUUUUGCUAGAUCGGUGUCUUCCUAACUUAAGUUCCCUUGCUUAUUUUGGUAUGACAUCGUAUUUGACUUGAUUGUCUCCUGAAAAGUCAGGAUUGGUAACAAAGUGUCGUCUCUUCAUCUGUCUGUGUACUAACUAUGUGCAUGUUUUUAUGUGAUGCAAUUUCUGAGUGGUGUGUAGUUGAUUGGACAGAGAUGUGCGUUUGCUGUUGAAUGCUAAAAGAUCAGUUGCUGGAAGCUCUAAAGGAGAAUUUAUCCUCAUGGAUACAAAGUAGGUUGGAAGGAUGGGAAAUUAGUCGCAUCUAAUUUCUUUUCUUCUUCAUUUUUUAAUUUGCAAAAAAAUUGUGGUAAGGGGUUGGCUGGUGGUAUCUCUUAACUCUUCAGUCUGACUUUGGGCUACCGAAUAUGGCUUCUUGCACCUUCUUGUGAAGCAAUGAGCAUGGAAGAAACAAAUGUAUUGAGCCUUGACUCUCAACCUCUUACUAUGUUGAUAUCAUUGGUGUCAUAUAAUGCUUGCAUUAGUCGGUAAUUCAUUCUAAAAUUUAUUCAACUAGUUGGAUUUUAUUAUAUUGAUCUCCAGAUUAAUUGUUGGUUUCAAGUUUUGCUCCUUUCAUUAAAUUUCCUUCUCAAGAUUUGGUUAUUGUUGGUGUAGCAAAAUCAUGGAAAACCACGAUGGAAAGAAAUGAAAAUUUCUGGUAACUCUACUUCCUCUACUAGUACAAUGUCCAUUAUAUGCCAUAGGUAUUUGGUAGAUGUAUCUUGUUAACAUCGUAGAAACAUAUAACCUGAAGUAUAAAACGGUUCUAUAAUGGACCAGACCAAAGCUGCGUACUGCUUUCAAGCAUUUGGAGCAUGUUAACUUGCUCUUCGUUGCACAGUCUCUCUUAUUUGAGUUUCUGCCUCUACAUGUGCAUUUGCUAGGACUUUAUGCAUCACCCAAAUACUCAGUCUUUAAGCCUUAAUAAUAUGGCUGGACUAUGUUUGGGAUUUAGAUGUUUCAUUGUAGCUUGGCACAAGUAGUAUUAGAGCUUCUGUUGUGUUUCUAUGCUUUAAUUUCUUAUGGUAAAUUGUCAGUUGAAUUUUGUAAAGGCUAAUCGGCAGUUGAAGUUGAUGAUCCAGCAGGGCAUCUUAAUGUGCUGUAAUGGUUGAUGUUUGGGCAAAAUCAUGUGGUAAGCCUUACCUUUUGAAGCUUCACUUCUCUGUAAAUGAUUUCCCACAUUUUUGUAGGCGAAUUUCGGCAAUUCACUCAAAACACAGUAAGAUCCGACUGCAUUAACCGAUAAGCGCGCAUGCACUAGGAUAGAGAAAAUCAGCGUCCGUUAGGAAACAGACUUAGUUAUGGCCCAACCAAAUAGCCCGAGUGCAGCCCAAUUUAGUAAGCAUGUUUUGGGAUUUUUGUUUUCGUUUUUCUAAUUACUAUCGAGACCCGCUCUUACGGAACUCUACUCACCUGAGUACCUAACAAAACUUCCGCGGUUCUGAUUAUUAAAUUGGUCGAGUCCGGGUCGACACGAUUUUUUCCAUGUCGGGUUAGGGUUAAAAUUCUUAACCUAUUUACCCAAUUAAUGACCUGAUUAUAUUUUUUAUUUUAAAAUAAUUUAUAAAUUUUUGUCAUCAAAACUCAAAUAUUAGAGAUGAUUUUAUUUUUUAUUUUUUAUUUUUAUUCUUUAAAAGGAUUAAUAUAAACACAUUGUUUUAGUUAUAAAAUUUUAAAUAUAUUUAGAGCUUCAAUAGUAUAAAUGUGUAAAAUAUUAGUAGACAUGUAUAUUUUGUAAUAUUGAUAUAUAAUAUUAUUUACAUAUAUAUAAUUAAAACCUCAAUAGUAUAAAUGUGUAAUAUAUUGGUAGAUAUAUAUAUUUUAUAAUAUCGAUAAAUUAUGUAUGUAUGUAUUUAUGUACAUACGUAUGUAUGAUAGUGUGUAAAUAUUUUAUGUAACUUUUAUUCAAUAUAUAGAUAUUAAACGGGUUAUUGGGUAACCCGAUUAUUUUUCCGUGUCGGGUUUGGGUCUCGAUAUUUUGACACGAUUAUUAAAUGGGUCGGGUUUGGGUCGACCUAAAUUUGACACGACACGAAGCU